GGAACGGAACGUGAACGUGAACAUGAACGUUGCAAUCGUUCGAGGGCCUCUGGCUCGCUUUUUGGCAGGCCGCACGGCCAGUCGUCAGUCAGUUGGCCAACAAACUGGUAGCGUCUGGUGUGGCGAGCCAACAAAAGGCUGGCAGGGCGGCCAACACCGGACCCGGCCCGAAUCCAAAUCGGAAUCCGGGUCCGGGUUGUCCGGGCUGGAUCCGCAUCUACGGGCUGCACGGCUGCCAAUUGAGCGGAGUUUGGGUCUCAAUUUGACGCGUAGCCAGCCAAGAAGAGUGGCCGGCCAACAACAAAAACAGGUGACGCAGGAUGUGGCCAAACGGCCAAAGGAGGAGGAUGGCCAAGAGGAGGAGGAGGAGGAAACGCAGCGCACUUUUUUGGCCACGGUCCGCGUUUGAUUAGCCAACUCAAACAUCAGGGCCAAGAUCAGGGCAAUUGACAGCUCUCUCUCCAUUUGGCACAGUCGCAGCACACACAGUGUUUUACGGUCACGGAUGGGCCACAGUGGAGCCUGGGCAGUACGCAACACCUGACGCUGCCCGCCCGGAUACUCACGUCCGUCUCGAUUAUACAGCAAAUAAGAAAACGUAAAUAAACAAUUAAAAAUAUGGAGUAUUUGCUCCGCAACUGCCAACAACAGCGACAACAACCAGUUGCUCUGCGGUGCAGAAGCGAGUGUGUAACAGUGUGUGCCUUGUGAACUGACCAACGUGCCAAAAGUGAAGGGAGGAGGUGGGAACUCUGGCUCGGACCCAAGCAACAAGAACAACUGCGAUUUGGCAGGAGCUGAUUGUUUCAUCUGGCCAGGCUUAAUGAAAGGACUCGUCCUGGCCACAGCCGCAUGUCAAACGCAGUCGGGCAAACACCAGCGGAGCCCCAAAGGAUAAGCAUCGCCACAACAACGGAAUCUCCACCGGAGGAUGCACCACAAAAAAUGUUGAUUCUAAAAUAUUCAACCAUGUAAAAUAAACUAAACUAAACGUUACUCAAAGGACUAAGAUCCCAAGCAGGAGCCUUACCAUUAGCUCAACAAAGAAAACAACAAAAUAUUUAAACAUAAAAUAACUACAUUUCAAAGGAUUGUUCAACAUCCUUUAAGAAAGCAUAAUAAAACUGAAACCUAAAAUGACAUAAAAAUUUAAAAUAAAAGUAAACAAACCUUUGACUCUUAAUAAAAGUUAAAAUAUAGAAAAAACAAAAAAAAAAUAAAUACCCAAACUAUAACUAUUUUUCAAAUAGUUAAAUUAGUGCUUAAUCCCCAUAUGAAUCAUAAUCGCAUACAAAAACUAUAACUUACCAAACCUAAAAUGAGCAAAUAUUAUAUAACCCCCAAAAAUAUGAUGUUAUAUAGACAUACCAACAUAUAAAAAUAAUAAUGCAAUAGUCAAAUGGAUUAAAAAUAGUGCAAUACAAUACGUCUAUAAUCCAACGUCAAAAGUUUUAUAACGCAACGAUAUUAUUUUAUAAUAAGCACUUUCAAACAAUUAUAUAAAAUUUAAAUCAGCGCGGGAAGUCUUCGGCAUGGUAAAAGCAUAAGAUGUAAAUCACAGCAAAAAAGAGAGGAUAGAUUAAUAGCGAAUGAAGAGAAAGGAGUGGAAAACAUCUGAGCGCGGAAAAGUGCUGAAAAUGGUGAGUAGAGCAGCUGAAGGCCCAAAGGAAGCCUCGUUGGCCAAUUGAGGAGGAGAGACCCAGAAAGUCGAGCCGAUUUUCCGCUGCAACCGCCGAAGGUCUGACCAACCAAUGGCAACGCACGGCGGCGACGAAGCCCGGCCAAAAGGGGGAGUUCCCGGGAAAUGGGGGGAAAACUAGCCGCCCUGCAAUGCAUUUCUUUGGCAACGUAUCAAGCGGCCUCUCACACACACACACACACACA
Long non-coding RNA from Drosophila rhopaloa, 1884 nucleotides. RefSeq lists it as uncharacterized. The transcript has 2 exons. The record is from RefSeq and is a predicted model, not a curated record. Lineage: Eukaryota; Metazoa; Arthropoda; Insecta; Diptera; Drosophilidae.